Molecule: non-coding RNA, 30 nt
Filed under: Mus musculus (house mouse)
Lineage: Eukaryota; Metazoa; Chordata; Mammalia; Rodentia; Muridae
Source: RNAcentral
UGCUCAGGAACGAUGUGCAUCAUUAGCUCA